RNAcentral lists this long non-coding RNA (393 nucleotides) under Ficedula albicollis (Collared flycatcher). RNAcentral describes it as "lncRNA (ENSFALG00000025229.1)". The record is from RNAcentral. Lineage: Eukaryota; Metazoa; Chordata; Aves; Passeriformes; Muscicapidae.
CAGAUUGAAGCAUUUUGUUGUGUCACUCCUUGUUUCUAGUGCCAGGAUCACAGUGAGAAGGGAGUCACCCAUGAAGAUUUGUUCAUGCAGCUAAGCAAACUUUCAUGGAUAAAAUUCAAAACAGAAAAGGGAAUGAAUACUGUGUACCCAGACAGCAAUAAACAUUUAGCUGCAGACCACUGACAGAAAUCUAUAGACCACCAGUUUGGGAAACCUCAGCUUCGAACUCUAAAUGAUUCAACAUUUGUGUAAGUCAGACACGUUCUGCUAUUAUGUAACUAAAUAAUUUUAUAUCCAUGGUCAUUGUAAUGCUAAGAGGUUCAGACAGUGUAUGAACUGUUUACUCUUGCAAAUUGUCUCUCUAGUAAUUAGGUGAUAAAAUUGAAAGUGCUU